This 336-nucleotide long non-coding RNA is filed under the name Salvia miltiorrhiza (redroot sage). Its description in RNAcentral is "long non-coding RNA (SMIL_LNC012920)". Lineage: Eukaryota; Viridiplantae; Streptophyta; Magnoliopsida; Lamiales; Lamiaceae. The record is from RNAcentral.
UGAAAGGAAGAUGAAAAGAAGCAAUUUUGGUGGAAAAAUUGGAACUGUUCGAAUAAGACAAGAAAAAGAAAAGCUAUUGAAUUUAAUUAAGAAAAAAACAUGAUAUGCUGAUAUUAGAAUAUUAUUAUAUUAUGUUUGUGAUUAGUGGGCUAGGAAUUAGAUUAUUCCUUUUGGCCCAUUAAUAGGAGGCUUACGAGUUUAGUUUUUUUUUUUUUUGUUUUUUUAAUAUAUAUUGUUCUUUGGCCAUCAAUUAAGGGGGAUUGUGCAAUAGGAGAUUAGAGCUUUCAUCUUGGCGGCUGAUCCUUGGGGCGAGAAGAAAGAGAGCAUUGAUGGCUG